RNAcentral lists this long non-coding RNA (2461 nucleotides) under Capra hircus (goat). RNAcentral's name for it is "lncRNA (ENSCHIG00010006330.1)". Lineage: Eukaryota; Metazoa; Chordata; Mammalia; Artiodactyla; Bovidae. The record is from RNAcentral.
UUAUUUGGUGAUUUCUAUUAUUCUGUCUCUCAGAUCAUCUAUACCUUCUUUCUACAUCACCGAUUCUGCUUAGUUCCUUCUAGUGUAAUUUUUAGUUCAGUUAUUGCAUUUUUCUAAAGUAAUUGAUCAGAAGAAGGAGUGGCUAGGGCCAGAUCCAGGUUUGAACUGAGACUUCUCUUGUGCUCAAUGGCAGUCAUCCCCCUAUCAAAGGCAGAGUUGGUGCCCAAGGCGCUGGAGCAGAAGCCCUGAAGUUUGUAUCUGAGCUGGUUUCAUUCUAAUUGUGUGAAGUCUACUGGCAAUGGCAGCUUUCAUCCUGUUGGAGAGCAACACCAGUGCCAGAAAGGCUGGAGUCAGUGCCAGGUGUUUAAUAUUAUCCAACUGCCAUAAAGUUAAAGCUUUCUUUUUGAAAUUUGAACCUAAAUUCCACUGAACACAAGAUGAAAAUGUGGUUGCUGUUCAGUCUCCUUGUAAUAAUAUCNNNNNNNNNNNNNNNNNNNNNNNAGAAAUAUCCUGUCUAUAACAUGUAACUUCCACAAUUUAUGUCAAUGUAAUUAAUAUUCUUUUCACUAUAUUGAAUCUGGUGUAUAAAGUUCAGAAUUAAUAUUUUCUUUUGCCAUCUGGAUCAGGCAAGUAAAUGCAUAUAUUUUAAGGCUGACACUUUUGUUCUUUUUUCUUUUUAGUUUCAAUUAAAAUUUCAUAAGAUAAGUUAAUCAAUCUUAUAUAGUGAUGUGCUGGUAAAUGUUUAAAAUCUGAAUAUCUGGGAGGGAAAAAAUAUCCCUGCUGUAGCAUUUGUCAAUUCCUACAGAGUAAAUUGUCCUACUGUGUCAUUUUCAACUUGAAACCAUUUAAGGUGGUGGGAGUAAAGUUAUGCAACAACACACCAUUAUAUAGUAUGUUCACUAUAGGGGGUAAAAUCAACUUAACCUCAUUAGUAUACAUAAAAGUAAAAUAUAGUAAAAUAUUAGAAAAUAAAGGGUAUUAAGCUUUUGAUACCUUUGUUUAUUUUUAUAAGUUAAUAUAAUUUAAUUUUUAUUAUUGGCUGGUCAAUCUUUUGAAAAACAAUUCAAAAAUAAUCUACAGUGUAUUCAAGGACUUAAGAAUAACAAUGCAGUUUUAAGUAUACUGUAGUUUUAGGAAAAAAACACUAUAUGUCUAUUUUUCAAAGAUAAGUGUGAAAGAUUAAAAAAUAUUUUCUAAAGGAACAUUGUAUUUUUAUCUGAAGCAGUGUGUUUUCUAACAAUAUUUUCUAAUACCUCUGUUUCAGUUACCUUAAUUCAGCACUUGGUGAGUUGCUAUUAAGUUCAAGAUAUAGAUGGAUCUCAUAUUUUCAUUUAUGAACCUCCCUUGAUUGCUUUAAUAAUGAACUUGAUGGGCACACACAUAUAGAACUAUUUGCAUAUAUGCAUACAUAUUAUUUAAAUAUAAUAAAGAAAAAUUUGUGGUAAGGUUAUUGCUGUCUACAUUUAUAAAUAGAAUAAAACAAAGAUAUUCUUAUUAGUACUGAAAAUUCAUGCCAAUUCUUUAAAAUUUUGGCGCUGUAAUUAUAAAAGUGCAAAGAUAAGAAAUAAAUAUUUCCAAAGACAUGGUCAUACUUCAGCCUUAAUGGUGAAGAGCUGAUAAUCUAAUUUCAUUAACUAAUAUCUCGAUUAUUUGAAUAACAUUUGAAAUCAAAACAAAGAGCAGCUUUGGGAUUAAUAUUUUUCUGUUUUUGUCUUUUUUUUUUCUUUUUAGAGUUUACAUGGCACAGAAGGUAUGGUCAUGGAGGUAAGUUGAUGAAAGGGUAAAUUUUUAAAUAUAUUUCUUCAAAUAAACCGUAUUUCAUCCCUACAUUAAGCUAUUAAGUUUUUAAACUUAUAGCAAGUGGUUACAAUUAGAGCACUUGGAAAUUUUGUUAAUGUUUUAUCUGAGGUCUUCAUGUAACUGAUUUGAUUACCAAAAUAAAUGAAUAGAUACACCACAAGCAAAUAUCGAAGUGGAGGAUUGUAGCAGAUAGAAUAUAUUCAAUGCAACCUCUAUUUUCCCUUCAUGUUUUUUAAUAAUCCUAUAGUACUUAAUUUUGCAGCUAUAUUUUUAAUAUUGUAAAAUUCUAGCUUGUUUUGAAAGCCUUCAGCUUUGCUGCAAGAAGGAGAAUUAACGUUAAUAAGCUUGGAACCUUAAGAUUCAGUUUAAUUAGAAAUCCAGAUAGUGGAAAAUUUAUUGUUUAUCCUUCACUAAAUAUAAUUAGCGAUCCCGAUAGUUUAGAUUAUAUUUUAACCACUGAAUAGUUCUUGCUAGAAAUAUAGACUGGAAAAAAUAGAGUCUAGAGUAAGAUCAGUCUGGACUUACAUAAAAACCUGGUAUUCACUAUGUGAUCUUGGGCAAAUUAUUCAAUUUCUAUGAGACUUAUGUUUCCUACAUGUAAAAAUCACAGGAUUCUUGUGAACACUAAAAGUACAAUGUGGUGAUAACUUACAGCACUGCU